RNAcentral lists this ribosomal RNA (541 nucleotides) under uncultured bacterium. RNAcentral's name for it is "bacterial SSU rRNA". It matches the Rfam family "Bacterial small subunit ribosomal RNA", at positions 8 to 550 of the family's 1533-position model. The record is from RNAcentral.
AGAGUUUGAUCCUGGCUCAGGAUGAACGCUAGCGGGAGGCUUAACACAUGCAAGUCGAGGGGUAAGUGUAGCAAUACACCAAGACCGGCGGACGGGUGCGUAACGCGUAUGCAACCUGCCUUAUACAGAGGGAUAGCCCGUGGAAACGCGGAUUAACACCCCAUAGUACAUUUGAGCUGCAUGGCUUGGAUGGGAAAACUGAGGUGGUAUAAGAUGGGCAUGCGUCUGAUUAGCUGGUUGGUAGGGUAACGGCCUACCAAGGCGACGAUCAGUAGGGGUUCUGAGAGGAUAAUCCCCCACACUGGUACUGAGACACGGACCAGACUCCUACGGGAGGCAGCAGUGAGGAAUAUUGGUCAAUGGGCGAGAGCCUGAACCAGCCAUUCCGCGUGAAGGAAGAAGGCCUUAUGGGUUGUAAACUUCUUUUCUGUAAGAAGAAUAGUUCCGACGUGUCGGGAUAUGACGGUAUUAUAGGAAUAAGCAUCGGCUAACUCCGUGCCAGCAGCCGCGGUAAUACGGAGGAUGCAAGCGUUAUCCGGAU